AUACGGAGGGUGCAAGCGUUAUCCGGAAUCAUUGGGUUUAAAGGGUCCGUAGGCGGACUAAUAAGUCAGGGGUGAAAUCCCACAGCUUAACUGUGGAACUGCCGUUGAUACUGUUAGUCUUGAGUUAUAUGGAAGUAGAUAGAAUGUGUAGUGUAGCGGUGAAAUGCUUAGAGAUUACACAGAAUUCCGAUUGCGAAGGCAGUCUACUACAUAUAUACUGACGCUAAUGGACGAAAGCGUGGGGAGCGAACAGGAUUAGAAACCCUAGUAGUCC
Molecule: ribosomal RNA, 274 nt
Filed under: uncultured bacterium
Lineage: Bacteria
Description: partial 16S ribosomal RNA
Rfam family: Bacterial small subunit ribosomal RNA
Source: RNAcentral